RNAcentral lists this ribosomal RNA (471 nucleotides) under uncultured organism. Its description in RNAcentral is "partial 16S ribosomal RNA". It matches the Rfam family "Bacterial small subunit ribosomal RNA", at positions 335 to 797 of the family's 1533-position model. The record is from RNAcentral.
ACUCCUACGGGAGGCAGCAGUGGGGAAUAUUGCACAAUGGGCGCAAGCCUGAUGCAGCCAUGCCGCGUGUAUGAAGAAGGCCUUCGGGUUGUAAAGUACUUUCAGCGGGGAGGAAGGCGAUAAGGUUAAUAACCUUGUCGAUUGACGUUACCCGCAGAAGAAGCACCGGCUAACUCCGUGCCAGCAGCCGCGGUAAUACGGAGGGUGCAAGCGUUAAUCGGAAUUACUGGGCGUAAAGCGCACGCAGGCGGUCUGUCAAGUCGGAUGUGAAAUCCCCGGGCUCAACCUGGGAACUGCAUUCGAAACUGGCAGGCUAGAGUCUUGUAGAGGGGGGUAGAAUUCCAGGUGUAGCGGUGAAAUGCGUAGAGAUCUGGAGGAAUACCGGUGGCGAAGGCGGCCCCCUGGACAAAGACUGACGCUCAGGUGCGAAAGCGUGGGGAGCAAACAGGAUUAGAAACCCCAGUAGUCCCA